GGGAAAAACUUACGCUAAUACCGGCAUACGUCUACGGGAGAAAGUGGGGGACCGCAAGGCCUCACGCAGAUAGAUGAGCCGAUGUCGGAUUAGCUAGUUGGCGGGGUAAUGGCCCACCAAGGCGACGAUCCGUAGCUGGUCUGAGAGGAUGAUCAGCCACACUGGAACUGAGACACGGUCCAGACUCCUACGGGAGGCAGCAGUGGGGAAUAUUGGACAAUGGGCGCAAGCCUGAUCCAGCCAUGCCGCGUGGGUGAAGAAGGCCUUCGGGUUGUAAAGCCCUUUUGUCCGGAAAGAAAAGCUCGGGAUUAAUAAUCCCGGGUCAUGACGGUACCGGAAGAAUAAGCACCGGCUAACUUCGUGC
Molecule: ribosomal RNA, 364 nt
Filed under: uncultured Spirosoma sp.
Lineage: Bacteria; Pseudomonadati; Bacteroidota; Cytophagia; Cytophagales; Cytophagaceae
Description: bacterial SSU rRNA
Rfam family: Bacterial small subunit ribosomal RNA
Source: RNAcentral